RNAcentral lists this non-coding RNA (21 nucleotides) under Caenorhabditis elegans. The record is from RNAcentral. Lineage: Eukaryota; Metazoa; Nematoda; Chromadorea; Rhabditida; Rhabditidae.
UUUUGAAGAAAAAGUACAAAU